AUGAGGCUUGUGAUGUUCCAGGAGAUCAUAACGGCGAAAAUGAUGAAGAAAAUGAAGAAAACAGUGCAACGCACUGUCCAUAUCGCGUGUGUCACGGCAGAGGGAGCAGAUCCGCCUCGGGAUCCGGCGCGCCAGCCACAACCGCGAGCCACAGAAGAUCAUCCAGGAGCAGAACCAGCCGAAACUGCUGGUGUAGGCGGAUCCGCCUUGGAUCUGGCGCAGGAGGAUUCAUCUGCCGGAUCUUCUGUGGCGCAAAACAACACUGGUGCACCACAACGUCGCACACGGCUGCAAUCAGGGGUAACUAAGCUUGUUAAUUAUAAACGCAUAACAAAAUAUGGCUUAAUCUGCUCCACAGGGGAACCAGGUGAGCCCAAUACGCUUGAAGAGGCCCUUGGCGAUGAGAAGUGGAGAAAGGCAAUGCGUGAGGAAUAUGUGGCACUACAGAAAAAUAAAACUUGGCAUUUAGUCCCUCCAAGGCAAGGUAAAAAUCUCAUUGAUUGCAAAUGGGUUUUUAGAAUCAAACGCAAGUCUGAUGGAACAGUUGAUCGUUACAAGGCAAGGCUAGUUGCUAAGGGUUUUAAACAAAGAUAUGGCAUAGACUAUGAGGAUACAUUUAGUCCGGUGGUAAAAGAUGCAACUAUUCGUCUUGUCCUAUCCAUGGCUGUUUCCAGGGGAUGGAGUCUUCGACAGUUAGACGUACAGAACGCGUUUCUUCAUGGUGUUCUGGAAGAGGAGGUUUACAUGAAACAACCUCCUGGGUUUGAAAGCAAACAUGCACCCUCUUAUGUAUGCAAGCUUGACAAAGCACUGUAU
Molecule: ribosomal RNA, 816 nt
Filed under: Triticum aestivum (bread wheat)
Lineage: Eukaryota; Viridiplantae; Streptophyta; Magnoliopsida; Poales; Poaceae
Description: partial small subunit ribosomal RNA
Source: RNAcentral